GAAAUGCGAUAAGUAAUGUGAAUUGCAGAAUUCAGUGAAUCAUCGAAUCUUUGAACGCACAUUGCGCCCCUUGGUAUUCCGAGGGGCAUGCCUGUUCGAGCGUCAUUACACCACUCAAGCACUGCUUGGUAUUGGGCGUCUCGUCCCCUCACGGGGGCGCGCCUCAAAGACCUCGGCGAGGCCUCACCGGCUUUAGGCGUAGUAGAAUUUAUUCGAACGUCUGUCAAUGGAGAGGACUUCUGCCGAUCGAAGCCUUUAAAUUUUUCUAAGGUUGACCUCGGAUCAGGUAGGGAUACCCGCUGAACUUAAGC
This 311-nucleotide unclassified non-coding RNA is filed under the name plant metagenome. Its description in RNAcentral is "partial contains 5.8S ribosomal RNA, internal transcribed spacer 2, and large subunit ribosomal RNA". The stretch from base 1 to 105 matches the Rfam family "5.8S ribosomal RNA", at positions 50 to 154 of the family's 154-position model. The record is from RNAcentral.